GCGUCGCAUCGGAUCGCGUCCAUAAAUCUUUCGUACUGACUCAGACAGGUAAGAGCACCGCUGAACUUAAGCAUAUCAAUAAGCGGAGGAAAAGAAAAUAACAAUGAUUCCUUAGUAACGGCGAGUGAAGGGGGAAAAGCUCAAGUUUUAAAUCGGCGCAGGUUCACCUGGUCGAGUUGUAAUUUGAAGAAGCGUUUACCGCGUCCGGGUCGACCCAAAUCCUUUGGGAUAGGGUAUCAUGGAGGGUGAGAAUCCCGUCCGGUUGACCUCUGGAUGUUUUACGUUACGCUUUCUAAGAGUCGAGUUGUUUGGGAUUGCAGCUCAAAACGGGAGGUAAAUUUCUCCUAAGGCUAAAUACAGGCGAGAGACCGAUAGCGAACAAGUACCGUGAGGGAAAGAUGAAAAGAACUUUGAAAAGAGAGUAAAACAGUACGUGAAAUUGUUGAAAGGGAAACGAUUGAAGCCAGUCGUACCGACGGAAAAUCAACUUCUCGAGCGUUUGUCGUGGGUGAUGUUGAGCUUCGGCCUUCGUUGCUUGCGUUAUGGUGCUUUUGGUGUGUACUUUUCCGUAUGGUAGGUCAAUAUCGAUUUUGAUUGUCAUAAAAUGAUCGGAGGAAUGUGGCUUCGAUCUCGUAUCGGAGUGUUAUAGCCUUUGGUAGAUGUGACGGUUGGGAUCGAGGAUUGCAACGAAUACCCUUUGGGCUAUCCGUCUGACCUCUGAAAGUCGCUCGAGUGUUAAAAGCGUGCUUAUGACAUUCUAGUUGGCGGUCAAAAGGUUAGAACGCGAUUAUAUUCGUUAAGGAUGUUGACGUAAUGGCUUUAAACGACCCGUCUUGAAACACGGACCAAGGAGUCUAACAUAUAUGCGAGUGU
Molecule: ribosomal RNA, 873 nt
Filed under: uncultured Glomus
Lineage: Eukaryota; Fungi; Glomeromycota; Glomeromycetes; Glomerales; Glomeraceae
Description: eukaryotic LSU rRNA
Rfam family: Eukaryotic large subunit ribosomal RNA
Source: RNAcentral